Molecule: small RNA, 294 nt
Filed under: Paenibacillus antarcticus
Lineage: Bacteria; Bacillati; Bacillota; Bacilli; Caryophanales; Paenibacillaceae
Description: 5' ureB small RNA
Rfam family: 5' ureB small RNA
Source: Rfam by way of RNAcentral
CUGUUUCUACUUGCGCCGGAUUGAUGAAGUGCACGUGGGUAUCGACGCCUCCUGCUGUAACUAUCAUUCCUUCUGCAGAAAUGAUUUCGGUUCCAGCACCUAGAAUCAAGUCCACCCCAUCCAUCAGUAAUGGAUUUCCACUCUUGCCGAUCCCUAUGAUUCUUCCAUCAAGAAUACCUAUAUCCGCUUUGUAAAUACCGGUAUAAUCGACGAUGACUGCAUUCGUAAUCACAAGAUCCAACGCGCCGUCUGCACGUGUCGCUAGUGGAUGUUGCCCCAUCCCAUCUCGAAUCG